Molecule: ribosomal RNA, 253 nt
Filed under: uncultured bacterium
Lineage: Bacteria
Description: partial 16S ribosomal RNA
Rfam family: Bacterial small subunit ribosomal RNA
Source: RNAcentral
GACAGAGGGGGCAAGCGUUGCUCGGAAUUACUGGGCGUAAAGGGCUCGUAGGCGGCCAACUAAGUCGGACGUGAAAUCCCUCAGCUUAACUGGGGAACUGCGUCCGAUACUGGAUGGCUUGGAUUUGGGAGAGGGAUGCGGAAUUCCAGGUGUAGCGGUGAAAUGCGUAGAUAUCUGGAGGAACACCGGUGGCGAAGGCGGCAUCCUGGACCAAUAUUGACGCUGAGGAGCGAAAGCCAGGGGAGCAAACGGG